AUCAUAUAGGUUGAUCCUCGU
Molecule: microRNA, 21 nt
Filed under: Populus trichocarpa (black cottonwood)
Lineage: Eukaryota; Viridiplantae; Streptophyta; Magnoliopsida; Malpighiales; Salicaceae
Description: ptc-miR7820
Source: miRBase by way of RNAcentral